CUCUGUGUUUCGGCCCAAGCUCCCACCCCUAAACCUACCCAACACUGAAUUAACUUAACUUUUAGGAAGUCAAUUACGUGUUGGUGGGGUGUGGUCGUAUGGUGUGUUCUUGACGGCCGACGGAUCAUACCGUAGAGUUGUUGAGCUGAAUUAAACUUGAUUUGCUUGCCAAUUUUGACUUCAUAGCCGAUGGUUCAGAAUUAUAUCAUCUUGUUCAAAUUUUUCUUGUUGCGUGAGUGUGAAAACAGCGUCUUCGCCAACACACUGGAUUUGGUUUGGGGAGCAGUUUGCUUGGAGAUAUGGUGGAAUUAAUUUUCCAUUGUUACAGUAUGUUGGUUUCGAGAUUCGCGAUUUUGAGAAAAUUCUACAAUUUAUGUUUGAUAUCCUUGUGGAAAUAUUUUUGCAGGCCGCUUGUGAGUAUUGGAAGAGCGUAGUUGUAGUAGCAGCUUUUUUAAACAAUCAUCGACUCAUUACGAUACGAGUUGAUAGAGAGGAGAUUUCUGGAGAGUGGGUUCGAGGUGACUGUCGCAAGUCGUUGGGAGGCAGGGAUCUGCUAUCCAGCAGCUCGACCGAGUCCCGGGGAUGUGCAGCUGAGGGAGGACGAUUGCUUGUGGUGUAACAGAACACUCGAAGCUGUAGGAAAUAGUAACACAUUUGCUAUUUACCAAAUGUGGAAUGAAGGGCUUAGUAACUUCUGCAUUAAGAUUGUCUCAGAAGGGUGUGUCGCUUCAGUACAUGUCAACUACUUGUGGUUGCGUCCUAUGUAUUAGCGGAGUGAACUGAUUGAUCUCCUAACGGUGCGGCGGCACCAAAUCAACUUGGGACACGGUUUUAUACAGGCCAACUGUGCAUGUUGCGGAGACUCGUUCGGUGAGGGGCUCUAGUGUGAACAGUUCCAACACUCUCCCUCACACAAGAGCCCGUGAAAAGACCUUCUCUCCCUAUUUGGUACUCAUGUCAUUGUACGAUGAAAUCGAGAGAUUGCCAUAAUGGUAGAUCUUCUGCUUGGGUUUGUGGGCGAUGGUGAUCAUCGUCCGUCGUUUGUUUCUUGAAUUGAUGAAUUGGUUGGUGUCGGUGUUGGGUAUUGAUGGUGUGUGUUCUUCGUGUUUGAUACCAGGGUUGCCUGUCGAGGUUGUUCGGAGAUGUGGAUUAGGAAUGCAAGAAAUUUGUUUCUAUUGUUUCGUUUUAGGAGAGUGAGCAAGAGAUGGUACCGGGAAAUAGGAGGGACGGUUGAUUGGGUUGCGGCAGAAUUUAUCAGGCUUAAUACGCCGGGGUAUCUGCGCAGCGUAGGAAGGACGAGUUCGGGGGCGAAGGAUUCGUUACGCCGCAACCGUGAGGACCUUGCCUCCUUCGAGGCGUUGUUGGCGGAAGAUGUUGGUGAGGCGUUGGGAGUAGAGAGUUGAGGAGACAAUAGUUCUGAAGAUUUUUACCGAGCUGAUAUCCUUGUGUUUGAGCUCGCGGAGGAGUGUCCGGAUCCACGUCGCUUUCUUGGCCGCGUCGGGUCGGAUUCCAUUAGGUUCUGGAGUGGCUCUGGAGGCCUUCGUCCAUCGAUGUCGUGCUGGGGUUGCACUUUGCCAUGCCGAACAUGUCGAGGAGGAUUUCGGCAUAGCGUGUCUGUAGCAGGACUAUUCCUUUGGCGGGGUAAAUGAAUUGCAGCCUCACAUAGACCUGCAUACGGCCGAGAUUCGACAUUUGGUAGAUAUUUUCCAAGGCGCUUUGGAGAGAGGAGACAGCAUUGGCAUCGUCCCCAGUGAUUUGUAUAUCAUCCACGUACAAGAUGAGAAUGGUAUAUAAUCCGUGGGCAGAAAUUGCAAAGUACAAGUUGUAGUCCAACUCACUGCGGGUUAAUCCGUGCUGGUGAAGGAAGGAGUCAAUGUUGGUGUACCAAGCUCUUCCUGAUUGCUUAAGGCCGUAGAUGGCCUUGAGAAGCUUGCACACAAGGCAGCCUUGGUGCUUUAGGCCGUCGGGUUGUACCAUAUAAACCUCCUCUUGUAGGGAUCCAUUGAGGUAGGUCGAUUUGACGUCGAGGUGCUUGAUCGGCCAAGUCUGGGCGGAUGCCAUGGCGAGAUGAUUUGUAUUGUUACCCACUUUACGGUGGGAGAGAAUGUUUCCUCAAAGUUGAUGCCCGGGCGUUGCUGGAAUCCCCGGGCAACUGAGCGGGCUUUCAGCUUCUCAGAUUUUCCAUCAGCAGCUAUUUUCGUCUUAAACACCCACUUUGUUGAAAUGGGCAAUUUGCCUGCUGGGAGUGGAAUGAGCUGCCAGGUGCGAUUGGAGAUGAGGGAGGCGAGAUAGAGCCAUGUUUCUGGCGCAGUCGUGGAUGGUUUUGUGUUAAUGUUCUGCGACUCCGUUUUGGUUGGGAGAGUAGGGUGCAGUGAGAUCCCGACAAAUGCCGUGCUGAUCGCAAAAAUUCUUGAACUCAUGGACAUGAAUUUCCCGCCACGGUCGGUUCAUAAGGCCCUUAUCCGGUAGUGGGUUUCUUCAGUAGCUUUAAAAGCUUGAAAUUUGUUAAGUGCGGUUUCUUUGGUGGGUAGGAAGAAAGUCCAGGUGCGCCUGCUGUAGUUAUCGGUUAGUGCGAGGGAGUACUUUGAGCCUCCGAGCGAGGGUGUGGUGAACGGGCCGCAAAGGUCAGUAUGAAGGAGUUGGAAGGGAUGAGUGGCGCGGUUCGAACUUUGUUUCGGAGCGGCAGUCUUUUGCUGUUUUGCGUGGACGCAUUCUUUGCAAAAUACUUGUGUUGAUGGCAGGUGCGGGAGUCCUCGUUCUUGGCCUGAUUUCGAGAAAGCAUGCAGCACCCAGUAAUUGAUGUGCCCGAGGCGUCGGUGCCACAGUUUGGUCUUGUCAUGGGCUGUGAGGAGGAGUUGUGGUGGACCGGGCUGGGGCAGCUCCGGUCGUGGACAAUGAGAUGGGUUUUUCAGCGGUGUUCCUGGAGGGAGAAGUCUGUACAGUCCGUUGGCAUUGUCUCUAAUUCUCUUGGCCAAUAUAGUUGACGGUGAAGUAUUGGUUGCGAUCCAACAUGACUGGCUUGUGAAGAAAACCACAUACCCUUUGUCCGCUAGCAUGCCAACGCUUAGUAAAUUCUUGCGUACCCCUCGUACGUGCAAAGCGUUGUGGACCUGUUGUGUGCCUUGUGCGUGACGAAUGAUACUGUUGCCCUCCCCAUUGACUUGGUGACAAUUUCCUGGGAUGGAACGUACACUUGUUAUCGCAUGUGGCAUUUUCAGAUUUUUGAGAUUGUGGGGGUUACCUGUGACGUGAACUGAUGCGCCGCUCUCAAAGUACCAAUGUCAUCUCUGUCCAAGUUGAGUGCGAGCAUGGAAACGUCAAAGAAUUAUGGUUCUUUGUUGUCGGGUUUCUCCUGCUCGCUCUUCUUUUCAUCUUCUGCGGUUACAGAGUACGUUGGUUGUUUGCGUGUUUGGAUUCGUCUUUGCCAACGGGGGUGGUGACAUUCGCGUGCCCAAUGCCCCCACUCUCUACAAUUGUUACAUCGACCGUUCCGCUUUAUGUUAUCAGAAGUUUGCUUGAGUUCAUUGUCAUGGUGCUGGUAUGAUGGAAUGGAUCCCGUGCUGGGUCGUUUGUUUAGGUGUCUCCCCCGUCCAUGAAACAUCAUGGCGUCUCCAUGUUCUCGUGGCCUAAUUGUUCUUUAUUGUUCUUCGAUUAGGAGCCGACUGGAGAGCUUUUUGAAGGAUGAAAGAUUGUCUUGGCCCAUGAGCCCUUGAAUGAAUGGUUCAUAUGCGACUGGUAACGUGGUGUGCACGAUGCGGUCGGUAGAGAGUACCUCACCUGCUGCCUGGAGUUGGAAGGUGAGUACUCUGGUGCAACGGAUGUACUCGGCCAUGGAUUGUGAUUCCUCAAAGUGCAGAGCUUGUAAUUGGUCGAACAGGUAGACGGUCCUGGCUGUGUUUUUGCUCUCAUAAAGUUUGUGAAGAGUACGCCAACACUCUGCGGGGUCUAUUUUUGUAGCUAUGUGGUGGAUGAUGUUGUCUUUGACGGAGCUGAACAUAGUAAGUGCUUUGAUUUUUUCUUUCUCGAUUGCUUCAGAUGUUAGCAGCGAAUUGGUGUUGAUAACUUCCGCUCCAUCUUGUUCGAUGGUACUGGUUGAGGAUGUUCUGUUAUCCGUAUACCAGACGCUCUCUCGCAUAAAUGCGAACUUUAUUCGGACCUUCCAGGCGAUGAAGUUGAGAUCGCCCUCUAACUUGUUUGAUUUUGACAUGAAGAAGUUCUCGUCUUGACUCGUGACUUGCAAUAUUGGCGCUGUUUGAUUGCAAGCUCUUCUUUGCGUAUUGUUCCUGUUGCUUCUUGUGAAGUGCGAUUGUACUACCGUGCUGCAAUUUUGGGUCUUGGCGUUCAUCCUUUGCUCCUGGUGCGGGUCGAUUGUUGCCGUGCUGUGACUAAUGGUGCCUGACCUCCAUUUGUCUACUGCUGUUGCAGAUGUAUUGCUGCCGUGCUGCCUAGCUGCUUGUCUACUAGAAUAAUAUUGGCAGAGAUUGCAGAGAUUUUCAGACUAGUGUAUGUGCUCCUUCAUGCACUAGAGAUAGUUAUAGCUAAUGUGCGGUUUUGGCAUGUUGCUCUAACAAGUAGAAAGUGCUGAGAUAAUGUUGCUUGUCUGGCAUUUGAUCAAGCUAUUCCUACUAUAAGUGCUUUGAUACCAUGUAGGAAAUAGUAACACAUUUGCUAUGUACCAAAUGUGGAAUGAAGAGCUUAGUAACUGCUGUAUUAAGAUUGAUUUAGAAGAGGGAGUCACUUAAAGUACAUGUCAAUAUUUGUAGUUGUGUUAUAUCUUUUAGCAAAGAGAAUUAAUUGAUUUUUUAAUGAUGUGGUAAUAUCAAAUCGACAAUAUGGGAUACCAUUUUAUGCAA
This is a non-coding RNA of Physcomitrium patens, 4853 nucleotides long. NCBI's taxonomy places the organism in Eukaryota, Viridiplantae, Streptophyta, Bryopsida, Funariales, Funariaceae. The record is from RefSeq and is a predicted model, not a curated record.